RNAcentral lists this ribosomal RNA (226 nucleotides) under Giardia duodenalis. RNAcentral's name for it is "Giardia intestinalis partial 18S ribosomal RNA". The record is from RNAcentral. Lineage: Eukaryota; Fornicata; Diplomonadida; Hexamitidae.
ACGAAGCCAUGCAUGCCCGCUCACCCGGGACGCGGCGGACGGCUCAGGACAACGGUUGCACCCCCCGCGGCGGUCCCUGCUAGCCGGACACCGCUGGCAACCCGGCGCCAAGACGUGCGCGCAAGGGCGGGCGCCCGCGGGCGAGCAGCGUGACGCAGCGACGGCCCGCCCGGGCUUCCGGGGCAUCACCCGGUCGGCGCGGUCGCGGCGCGCCGAGGGCCCGACG